This 4025-nucleotide long non-coding RNA is filed under the name Pan troglodytes (chimpanzee). Its description in RNAcentral is "long non-coding RNA NONPTRT014279". The record is from RNAcentral. Lineage: Eukaryota; Metazoa; Chordata; Mammalia; Primates; Hominidae.
GAGGGGCCCCAGCGACCAGCCACCAUGGAAGGCAGGCACAGGGGGGCUGGGGAGAUGGGCUCCUGAUCCUCCAUACCCAUAUCAUUGGAGACAGCAUAUAUCAUGGCUAGGGUUUUUAUAUAUAUAUAUUGGGGUUUAAUUACCUUUUUUUUUUUUUAAGAAACUUCUCUUGCUGAAUAAUUUUUUGAAACCACCGGACUGAAGGAUUUCUCAUCCCUGUGCUGAAGAAUUGUGGAGUCACAGGACUCAGGGACCUGCCCAGAUUUAAGGGUCUGUGACUUGGGAGAAAUCUUGGUUUCCAAUAUUAAUGGAACAUUUAGCCGGAACCAGGCUGCCUUACACACUUUACACACAUUAACCCAUUCAAUCUUCUCCUAAGCCCUCCAAGAUAGGUCUGCUUGUCAUCACCAUUUUGCGGAUGAAGAAACUAUGGCUCAGAUGGGUUCACUCACUUGCUCAGGGUCACGCAGAGUGAGCUGUUUGAUUCUAAAGCCCAUGUCUAUCCUCCACCAUCCUUGAAGAAGGGAGAGGAAGUCACUAGGUAGUCAUUCUGUCAGCAAGUAUCACCCGCAACCCCAUGUAGCCAAAAACCUGCCAUAUAUAGUGAGGAAUCUCCUCAUACCAUCUCAGGAUCUCAGGACAUAAGUCAAGGGGUUGGUUUCCUAAUUCUCCUUGGAAUUCUAUGUAUCUCAUAAACAUGGGUUCAGAUCUGUUGUUCCAACGUAUUUUUGCAUUUUAUGCUACAUAUUUGGAUUAGGACUUUUUAAACACUAAAAUGAAUUUAUAUAAAGUGAGUAGAUUGUCAUUUUGAACUCAGUGUUUCUUAAUGUUUUCUUACUGGACCUGCAGGAUGAACAAUGCCUCAUUAAACAUUCCAGACAUUCAAGAAAGGAUGAGUGGAAUAAAACUGUCAUUAUUUGUGGAGGAAGGAUUAGCUACAUAGAAACCCCAAAAUAAUAUGCAGAUACAGCGUUUGAAUUAAUAAGAGAGGUCUGCAAGAUUGCUGGAUACAAGAAUCAUUUGCAUUUCUAUAGAAUUUCUAUACAUCAGCAACAAUCAGUUGCAAAAUGUAAAUUUCUUAUAAAGAUGCCCAUUUCUAAUAGGCACCAAAACAUUUUUAAGCACCUAGGAAUGAACACCAAGGAUUCCCACACACAGAGAAAAGUCUACAUAAUGACACAGAGAUAAGGUGGACAUCUGAAAGCCAAGAAGAAAGCCUCAGAAGAAAUCAACCCUCCUGGCAUAUUGUUCUUGGACUUUCAGCCUUUAAGACAGUGAGAAAAUAAAUUUCCAUUUUUUAAAAAGUACUUAGGGGCCAGGCACGGUGGCUCACACCUGUAAUCCUCGUACUUAGGAAGGCCAAAUUGGAUGGAUUGCCUGAGCUCAGGAGUUCGAGACCAGCCCAACAUGGUGAAACCCUGUCACUACUAAAAUACAAAAAGUCAGCUGGGCAUGGUGGCGUACACAUGUAGUCCCAGCUACUCAGGAGGAUGAGGCACAAGAAUUUCAUGAACCUGGGAGGCAGGGGUUGUAGUGAGCUGAGAUUGUACCACUGCACUCCAGCCUAGGUGACAGAGUGAGACUCUGUCUCAAAAAAAAAAAGGACUUGGGAAUAAAUCUAUAAAAGAUACACAAAACUGUCUUAGUCCAUUUUGUAUUCUUAUAAAGGAAUACCCAGGGCUGGGUAAUUUAUAUAUUAAAAAAAAGGCUUAUUUGGCUCAUGAUUCUCAUGACUGGAAAGUUCAAGAUUGGGCAUCUGCAUCUGGUAAGGGCUUCAGACUGCUUCCACUUACGGUGGAAGUUGAAGAGGAGCUGGUGUGUGCAGAGUUCGUAUGUCGAAAGAGGAAGCAAGAGUGUGAGAGGGGAGGGGGAUGCCAGGCUCUUUUUAACAACCAGCUCUUGAGGAAACUAAUGAGUGAGAGUGAAUGAGUGAGAACUCAUUCACUCCUCAGCCACACCUCAAGGAGGGCAUUAAUCUAGUCAUGAGGAACCUGCCCCCAUGACACAGCACUAGGAAACUAGUGUGACUUCCCUCUUCCUCACCCUAGUCCCAGGCCUGUUGCUCAGGAUAGUAAAAAAAUGAAACAACUCUAAUGUCCAUCAACAGAUGCUGGUCCCUCCUGUUGUAUCUCCUCAGGAGGCCUUUCAUGCUAAGUGGCCCUUGGAGCCUGCACUUUUACCUGCCAGUCAACAGACAGUUCCCCAGCUGGGGGUGAGGGUAGAGGAAGGCCUGGAGAUAAGCUUAUCAGCCAUUAGAAAAAUCUGUCUCGGCUGGGCGCGGUGGCUCACGCUUGUAAUCCCAGCACUUUGGGAGGCCGAGGAGGGCGGAUCACGAGGUCAGGAGAUCGAGACCGUCCUGGCUAACACAGUGAAACACCAUCUCUACUAAAAAUACAAAAAGGUUCAAGCGAUUCUCCUGCCUCAGCCUCCCGAGUAGCUGGGAUUACAGGCAUGUACCACCAUGCCCAGCUAAUUUUGUAUUUUUAGUAGAGACGGGGGUUUCUCCAUGUUUGUCAGGCUGGUCUCGAACUCCCAACCUCAGGUGAUCCACCUGCCUCAGCCUCCCAAAAUGCUGGGAUUACAGGCAUGAGCCACCACGCCCGACCAAUAGUUUUAUAUUUAUUUUGAGAUGGAGUCUCGCUCUGUCACUGAGGCUGGAGUGCAGGGUGCGAUCUUGGCUCACUGCAGCCUCUGCCUCCCAGGUUUAAGUAAUUCUCCUGCCUCAGCCUCCCAAGUAGCUGGGAUUACAGGCAUGAGCCACCAAGCCUGGCUAAUUUUUGUGUUUUUAGUAGAGAUGGGGCUUCGCCAUGUUGCCCAGGCGGGUCUUGAACUCCUGGGCUCAAGUGAUCCACCACGCCCAGCCCAGAUUUCAGUAGCUUUAAAUAAGAGAACGAAUGGGAAAGUGCCCUGGAAGGUUUAAAGUAUAAAGUAUACUAAGGAGGUACUUUUGUUUUAGCCUAAAUGGGAAAGAGACUUUCCCAUUAACAUUCUUUAAACAUCUGUCAGAGGUGGCGUUUCCUAUGCUCAUUGAACAGGUAUGGAAACAGGCUCACAGAGCAACUUGCCUCCAGCUACAGAGCCCUGAAGUCUAGGUUUUAAUCAUUGUCUAUGCUGAACGUACGCAGCUGGGACUAGAUCCAUUCAGACAAAAUCCUGGCGAAAGGUGAAGGGCGGUGGGUGAGGGGUGUGGAGUACAAGACGCAGAUGGGAAAGGGCAUGGGCCACUACGGCCAUGGAAAGGGCUUUUUAGUUCCAAGUUACAAUAAGCAUACACUAAGACAGAGGCUUGCUCUGUAGCCCAGACUGGAGUGCAGUGGCACCAUCUCAGGUCACUACAACCUCCGCCUCCCAGGUUCAAGCAGUUCUCCUGCCUCAGCCUCCCUAGUAGCUGGGAUUACAGGUGCCCACCACCACACCCAGCUAAGUUUUUUUGUAUUUUUUAGUAGAGAUGGGGUUUUACCAUGUUGGCCAAGCUUGUCUUGAACUCCUGACCUCAAGUGAUCCGCCUGCCUUGGCCUCCCAAAGUGCUAGGAUUACAGGCAUGAGCCACCGUGCCUGGCCGAGGCCAACAUCUUUAAAAGCCUCCCUGGCAGCGUGUGCACAUGGCCUGGUGAGGACAGGAAGCGCUGGGCAAUGGGGCUGGGAGAGGACGAAUUUGGGGUACACUUCAAAGGUAGAACUGGCAGGGCCUAUUGAGUGUGGGUGAGGAUGACUAAGAGGACUAGUGGUUGACAAUGCUCUGCAAAGGGGUAAAGCAAAAGUCCAGAGCUGUUUCUUGCUGGGGACAUCACUCUCUAGUUUCCUCUUAUAGGUAGUGAGUUACCUAUCACUGGAGGUAUUCAAGCAUAUUCAAACAUAAACUGCAUGGCUUUAAGAGACUGUCUAGUUCCAAUAUUUUAUUUUAUUUUAUUUUUGAGAUGGAGUCUCACUCUCUCACCCAGGCUGGAGUGCAGUGGCAUGAUCUUGGCUCACUGCAACCUCUGCCUUCAAGGUUUAAGUGAUUCUCGUGCCUCAGCCUCCUGAGC